GAUGAACGCUGACAGAAUGCUUAACACAUGCAAGUCUACUUGAACUUCGGUUUGGGUGGCGGACGGGUGAGUAACGCGUAAAGAACUUGCCUCACAGUUAGGGACAACAUUUGGAAACGAAUGCUAAUACCUGAUAUUAUGAUUUUAGGGCAUCCUAGGAUUAUGAAAGCUAUAUGUGCUGUGAGAGAGCUUUGCGUCCCAUUAGCUAGUUGGAGAGGUAACGGCUCACCAAGGCGAUGAUGGGUAGCCGGCCUGAGAGGGUGAACGGCCACAAGGGGACUGAGGCACGGCCCUUACUCCUACGGGAGGCAGCAGUGGGGAAUAUUGGACAAUGGACCAAAAGUCUGAUCCAGCAAUUCUGUGUGCACGAUGACGUUUUUCGGAAUGUAAAGUGCUUUCAGUUGGGAAGAAAAAAAUGACGGUACCAACAGAAGAAGUGACGGCUAAAUACGUG
This 454-nucleotide ribosomal RNA is filed under the name uncultured bacterium. Its description in RNAcentral is "partial 16S ribosomal RNA". It matches the Rfam family "Bacterial small subunit ribosomal RNA", at positions 28 to 507 of the family's 1533-position model. The record is from RNAcentral.